AUUAGGGUAGCUAGCUUGGAGUACGCAAAAGACUUAAAAUCUCACCACGAGGGUUCAAAUCCCUCCCCUAACC
Molecule: transfer RNA, 73 nt
Filed under: Varanus scalaris
Lineage: Eukaryota; Metazoa; Chordata; Lepidosauria; Squamata; Varanidae
Description: tRNA-Leu
Rfam family: tRNA
About the family: Transfer RNA (tRNA) molecules are approximately 80 nucleotides in length.
Source: RNAcentral